RNAcentral lists this ribosomal RNA (874 nucleotides) under uncultured bacterium. Its description in RNAcentral is "bacterial SSU rRNA". It matches the Rfam family "Bacterial small subunit ribosomal RNA", at positions 8 to 883 of the family's 1533-position model. The record is from RNAcentral.
AGAGUUUGAUCCUGGCUCAGAUUGAACGCUGGCGGCAUGCCUUACACAUGCAAGUCGAACGGUAACAGGUCUUCGGAUGCUGACGAGUGGCGAACGGGUGAGUAAUACAUCGGAACGUGCCCAGUAAUGGGGGAUAGCUCGGCGAAAGCCGGAUUAAUACCGCAUACGCCCUGAGGGGGAAAGUGGGGGAUCGCAAGACCUCACGUUAUUGGAGCGGCCGAUGGCUGAUUAGCUAGUUGGUAGGGUAAAGGCCUACCAAGGCGACGAUCAGUAGCUGGUCUGAGAGGACGAUCAGCCACACUGGGACUGAGACACGGCCCAGACUCCUACAGGAGGCAGCAGUGGGGAAUUUUGGACAAUGGGGGAAACCCUGAUCCAGCAAUGCCGCGUGUGCGAAGAAGGCCUUCGGGUUGUAAAGCACUUUUGUCAGGGAAGAAAUCCUUUGGGCUAAUACCCUAGGGGGAUGACGGUACCUGAAGAAUAAGCACCGGCUAACUACGUGCCAGCAGCCGCGGUAAUACGUAGGGUGCAAGCGUUAAUCGGAAUUACUGGGCGUAAAGCGUGCGCAGGCGGUUGUGUAAGACAGGUGUGAAAUCCCCGGGCUUAACCUGGGAAUUGCAUUUGUGACUGCACGACUAGAGUGUGUCAGAGGGGGGUGGAAUUCCACGUGUAGCAGUGAAAUGCGUAGAUAUGUGGAGGAACACCAAUGGCGAAGCAGCCCCCUGGGAUAACACUGACGCUCAUGCACGAAGCGUGGGGAGCAACAGGAUUAGAUACCCUGGUAGUCCACGCCCUAAACGAUGUCACUAGUUGUUGGGGAUUUACUUCCUUGGUUAACGUAGCUAACGCGUGAAGUUGACCGCCUGGGGAGUAC